Molecule: small RNA, 67 nt
Filed under: Lysinibacillus sp. AC-3
Lineage: Bacteria; Bacillati; Bacillota; Bacilli; Caryophanales; Bacillaceae
Description: Bacillaceae-1 RNA
Rfam family: Bacillaceae-1 RNA
Source: RNAcentral
AGCAGAGGAACCCAGCCUAAGAACGCCGCGUCCUGUGGUAAUGACUGACUGACCAACAUCGUGUUGG